GACGCCGCCGCCUGCGCCUACACGACCCCUCCUCUAUAGGGGUUCUGCGGCAACUGAUUCAACUUUUCACGACCUCCUCGCUCGCCUCGGCUACUACUGGAUGAGAUGGGAGACUGCGGCGAUGGGAGCGGAGGCAGAGGCGCUACAGGAGCGCAUCUGGGACCUCCACGACAAGCUCAGACACGCCAUCCUCUUCCUCUCCGCCCGUGCCGGCCAUCCGGGCUGCGGCUGCCGCGCCCCCAACGGGCACGUGGUCAUCAAGGGACGGUGGCCCGGAGGUUGCCCCGACCUUGUGGCGGCGUCGGCCAUGGUAGAUGCGCGGGGCCUACACGCCAUCCACGCCGCGCUCGAGGAUCUCGAGGGCCACCUCCACUUCCUUCAUGUUAGGUACUAGGAAAACGAGUUCAGGAUAUGCAAAAGGAAGCUUAACUUUCUUCGCUAAGGAGAUCCUUGCAUCGGGAAAAAUAAAUUUGAUGAUUAUUUGGCUUUGCUCGUUGUUACGGUAACAGAUUUCACUCUGGAAAGGAUAAGUGCAACUGCAACCACUCAAUAUUUUCGUAUGAUGCAAAUUAAAUUGGAUAUUUCCUAACUAGACGCACAAGGUUUUUACUAUGGUGCAACUUUAACUGAAUAUCUUUUGACACUUGUAUCAUCUUAUUUUACAACCCUUCAAGAUAAAAUUUAACCUUUUGUUUUCUUGACUUCAGAGUUUGGACAAUGUUAUCUGCACAUUCGUAAUGUAUAUCAAGUCAGAAAUUCACCACGUUUUUAAUCUAACAUGUAGAUUGGUGUGUGUGAAGAUAUCAGAAAGUCACUGAUUUUGAGACUAUAUGGAGUUUGAGAUUCCAUAAUGCAUGGAUCUUAUUUCUCUUUGAAGUCCUUCAACUGAAACAUGUUAUUUCUACAAAAUAAACUGUUCUUCGGUCAUAUAGUUCAGUGAAGUUUGACUGAACCAAACUGGAACCAAGCUUCUCCUUACUGCAGUAUUGAAAAAAUUAACAUGACAGUCAGUUUAAGAUAAUCUGUAUGUAAAGAAUAUGGUGCUAAUACUUGUGUUGCAUAAAUUUGUAGGUAGCUCACUUACUGCACUGGUUUGUCUUUAGAGUUCAGGUUUGUCUUCAGAGUUCAGUGAUAGCUUCUCCUUACUCUUGUCUUUAUAACCUGAUGUCGUGCAAGCACUAGAUCUACCAAGUAGUAAUUUCACUUAAAAGGUAAAACAAAUGGCACCAUUAAGCUGGUCUACCUUUUUUUACCUGAUUAUUGAAGAUCACCUGGUGGUUUUUUCCCUUCCAAUGGGCACAAUUAUGCCAUUUCAUUUAUUUAUAUUUCUUGAUUUUUUGUUGUGUGGUAGCAGUGUCAGUGUGGUAGAGAUUAUAUCCAUGCUUUAGGAACAGAAGCCGAAAAUGUUUGGCCGGUAUGUAUAUGUUUGGCUGGUAUACGAGCUAUAUAUUGAUGCAUAAAUUCUGGAGUUCCAUGUACUACUUAACUUUGCAGUUGUAAGAAAAUCUUUGCAAAUACCAUCCCGCAUCAACAUUGCAAAUGGAUAGUUUUUCAUGUCAGUGUAGAAAAAAAGACUCGAAGACCUGUGGCAGCGCACAUGUCGUCCUCAACUCGACAUCAAGGAUGAGCAAGCACGGCAGUGAUGUUGUAUCUUUGUUGACGCUGAAUAUUCUGAAUGGAGUGACACAUAAUCUUUCGCUAGAUAUUCACUUAAUGGACCUCAAAUUUUUUGGAGCUCGUCAUUCUUAAUUUACGAUCUUCCCUUCCUAGACAUGUUGAACAGGUGUAUCUAUUGACUAUCAAGUAUAUAGUGUGACACCACAAUCCUAUUUUACAGCAAGAAUUCAUCACAUGAAAGAAUAGACCUUUGUAGCCAUAUUAUUAUUUCCUCCAACUGACCAUAUACCCUUAAGAUUUGAUAGACGUGGAUAGAUCAUCAAGACCCUUGUAAGCAGACAACAUUAUAGUGUGACACCACAAUCCUAUUUUACAGCUAGAAAUGGAAUUGUAUAAGAACAUACUAAAACCCUUUGGAUAUAUUUGUCCACAUCAAUUAUUUACAGAUAAUAGCCAUGUCAUACCUUCACAGUGGCCACAACAGCACAAUCUUGACGACAUUUCAGCAUAUUCAGAAAAAUCACUUUUGCCUUUUAUAUGCUGAAUCCUCGCAUGCGCAUAAAACUACAUGGUGAAGGUAGCAGUUAGUUCAAGUUCAUCUUCAAGGAAAAAUCAGAAUACAUCUAACUUCCUAUCAGUUGAGGUGUAAAAUAUCUUCCAGUUAUUUGGACAAAGCAUACAAAAUAGUUUCUGGACAACUGAUAAAGUUUGCAUACUGUAAUAUGACAUGAUAAUCUCCAAACUUCUGUGGGAUCUGUUCGCUUGCAAGAAUCCUCAAGGAUUGCACAGAGUGCUCUUCCUUUCUGUCAUGAAUUCCAUUGGCAGCGUUCUGAGAAAGUUUGGUCUUGAUGUUCCUUCUAAAUAACUGCUCAAUAGACAGGGCAUGUUGUGGUCUCUUUCAAAAUGAGCGACAUGUUUUAGUUCAGUACUGCAACUGCACAAAUUAAGUAUUCCAUGUGGUGAUUGACUGUUUCCAAUAAUCACCUG
Molecule: long non-coding RNA, 2604 nt
Organism: Lolium rigidum
Lineage: Eukaryota; Viridiplantae; Streptophyta; Magnoliopsida; Poales; Poaceae
Exons: 5
Source: RefSeq, a predicted model, not a curated record